UAUAAUGAAAGUGUCAUUAGAUUUUUUAUUAGAACUUUCGUUUCCGAGAUAUUAAAAAUCGGAAAUCUGACGAGGCAAAACUUCCAGAUAAAGCUAAGCGGUAGCGCUUCGACAGUGCCAUAUACUCACAGAUAUUCACCCGACUUUUAUAUACUUGGCGUCGCGCGAUAUAGACAUAAUUUGCAUAUAAUUAUAUAUAAUUAUAUAUGGAACUUAUAAAAAAGUUAAUCUAUCGCUUCUCGACCUCACAUUUCGUAUGUAUAUAUGUCAAUGAUACCAAAGGUAUACAUAUAUGUCAUAUGAUACCAAAGGAGCCUUAAUGUGUGUAACAGUACUAUAGGCAAUCGAUCUGUAGCCAAUAAUGUCGUGUGUGCAAUGCUACUUGCAAUUAUAUGUAUAUAGUGUCUUGUGUGCAAAUGUACUUUCGUCUUUUAAUUUUUCAAUUGUGUGCAAUAAAGUCUGUAGGCAGCAAUUUUUGCGCAAAUGAAUUGUCAGUAAAUGUGAUGUUGAAAUACGAUACUGUUGGCAAUAAAUUUGUAGGCAACUGGGACUCUUUCUCAAUCCAAUAGUAAAAAUUUAAAUUAUGCAAGAUGUAUGUACGUCAGGUUAUUGGUUUAUGAUCAAUCAUCCUUAAAAAGGUUAUAAUAGUAUUUAAACUAAUUGUGUUUUACAAACGAAAUAUAAGAUUUUGCAUACAGAAGUCUUGUUCAAGACUUUAUAUAAUUUAAACGAAAAAGGAAAGAACAGAACGUAAGUAAAUAUUAAUAUCACACAUUGAGAAUCCCCGCUUUGAAAAGAUUGUAUCAAUUAUAGUUAAAAAAUAUUGAUUUUAAAAUAUACCUAAAAUGUAUCUAUUUUGCAACUUUUGAAAACUUCUUUAAAUUGUAACGAAAUAUAGCAAUUUAGUAUAAAAGUGUUCGUAUUCGAAGCACCUAAAAAAUUGCGGGAAAUGAUUACUUUCCUUUUUCUCUGCUCGAAAGAAAGUAAUUUUUAUUAAAUAGCAUAAUUAUUAUUAAAAUAUGACAGGUAGGUUGCGACACAUUUGGUCGGUGGUUGGUUGCGACAUAUUUCCAUCCAAUAGGAGCCAGACAAUUACUUCCAUGUUGGGACGAACCUAUUUAUAAAUCGACGUUUAACAUUUCUUCGUGUCUUCGUAACAGUUUUUAUUCAAAUACAUAUGACGCUAUUGCAAAUACGCCAGUGAUAAAUAUACGAAUUUACAACCGUACUUUAAAGUAAGAAAUAAAAAUUUGGUACAGAAGAGGAUUGACGUCGUAAUUACAAUUUGCAAAGAUUAUUGAAGAUAUCAUCAUGCAUGUAGAAUCGAAAUGGAAGUUUUAUGAUGAACUCACAAAAAUCGAUCACGUCGCAAUACCAGGGUUUUACCGUGAUAAUAUCGCAUACCAGAGACUUGUUUUUUAUAGACUAUUACCGUGGUAGACAAAAUGGACAUUUUGUAACGACUUGUCAAAGAAAAUUUAUCUGAUACUUGAUCGUCAGUGAGUGACAUAUGUCAUUGGAAAGAUCUGUUUAUAAACGUUUAGAAUAUUUAUCUUAUUCUGCUAAUAUCAUCAACGUUUAUUUGAAUGUAACAAGAAAUGAAAUAUUUGAUGAUCCAAUAACAUCAUGAAUGAUUAAAGAAUUACCAAUCAAUGAUCGUUUGUUUAAUGUUCUUCUCACUAUCGAAAAGCACGCUAAAAAUCGUUUAUUAUCAUAUAUUAAAAAAUUUGGAUAAAAUAAUGCCAAGAGAAAUCAGGACGCAUCUGGAAGUAACAGUAACUCCUAUUAUUAUAAUAAUGUCUAUUUCGAGGAUGAUUUGAUUCAGAUAAUGCAAUUUUUACAAACUUUUAUAAAAUCCGGAAAGUAAUAUGUCAAAAUUUUUUCUUGAUCUGUUGCGACACAAUUUACAUUGAUGAAUAAACAUGUAAAAAGCAUUACAAAUUUUAUGCGUAAAAUAAGAAUACUCUUUGAACAAGAAAUAAAUGUAUGCAGAUCUGAAAUUUUAUUCUAUUAGGGGCAAUCGAUUUUUAUUUCUGCCCAGCUCUUUCCUAUUGUUUCUAUUUCUUUGUUGACUGUUUUUCUUCAUUAAAAUCGAAGCAUAUGUGGGGUGAAGAAUCGAACCCGAAACCGCCGAUUAUGAAUCAACGUGCUCGCACAUCGUGUUAUUCGUUACUCCUGUAUUCGUUUCUCGAAUCAAUUGCUUUUCGGACUUGCGGGUGAUUGACCCACAGAAUCCUAUCCAACCG
Long non-coding RNA from Wasmannia auropunctata (little fire ant), 2246 nucleotides. RefSeq lists it as uncharacterized. NCBI's taxonomy places the organism in Eukaryota, Metazoa, Arthropoda, Insecta, Hymenoptera, Formicidae. The transcript has 6 exons. The record is from RefSeq and is a predicted model, not a curated record.